RNAcentral lists this ribosomal RNA (507 nucleotides) under uncultured bacterium. RNAcentral's name for it is "bacterial SSU rRNA". It matches the Rfam family "Bacterial small subunit ribosomal RNA", at positions 995 to 1503 of the family's 1533-position model. The record is from RNAcentral.
AGCAUAUGCAAUGUAUGCUCCCCUCGGGGCGGCAGAGACAGGUGGUGCAUGGUUGUCGUCAGCUCGUGUCGUGAGAUGUUGGUUUAAGUCCCGCAACGAGCGCAACCCCUACCCCCAGUAGCCAGCGCGUGGAGGCGGGGAGUCUGUGGGGACUGCCAGGGACAACCUGGAGGAAGGCGGGGAUGACGUCAAAUCAUCAUGCCCCUUAUGGCUUGGGCUACACACGUGCUACAAUGGCGUUAACAGAGGGAUGCGAUGCGGCGACGCGGAGCGAACCCCAGAAACAGCGCCCCAGUUCGGAUUGCAGCCUGCAACUCGGCUGCAUGAAGCCGGAAUCGCUAGUAAUCGCGGAUCAGAAUGCCGCGGUGAAUACGUUCCCGGGUCUUGUACACACCGCCCGUCACACCAUGGGAGUUGGGAAUGCCCGAAGUCAGUGGCCCAACCGUAAGGGGGGAGCUGCCGAAGGCAGAUCCGAUGACUGGGGUGAAGUCGUAACAAGGUAACCGU